GAUCAUGGCUCAGGAUGGACGCUAGCGGCAGGCCUAACACAUGCAAGUCGAGGGUAGAGUUCUUCGGGACUUGAGACCGGCGCACGGGUGCGUAACGCGUAUGCAAUCUACCUUAUACAGGGGAAUAGCCCAGAGAAAUUUGGAUUAAUGCCCCAUAGUGUUAUCGAAUCGCAUGGUUUGAUAACUAAAGUUCCAACGGUAUAAGAUGAGCAUGCGUCCCAUUAGUUAGUUGGUAAGGUAACGGCUUACCAAGACAAUGAUGGUAGGGGUCCUGAGAGGGAGAUCCCCCACACUGGUACUGAGACACGGACCAGACUCCUACGGGAGGCAGCAGUGAGGAAUAUUGGUCAAUGGGCGCAAGCCUGAACCAGCCAUGCCGCGUGCAGGAAGACGGUCCUAUGGAUUGUAAACUGCUUUUAUACAGGAAGAAACCCUCCCACGUGUGGGAGCUUGACGGUACUGUAGGAAUAAGGAUCGGCUAACUACGUG
This 489-nucleotide ribosomal RNA is filed under the name uncultured bacterium. RNAcentral's name for it is "bacterial SSU rRNA". It matches the Rfam family "Bacterial small subunit ribosomal RNA", at positions 15 to 507 of the family's 1533-position model. The record is from RNAcentral.